Molecule: long non-coding RNA, 1813 nt
Organism: Vidua macroura (Pin-tailed whydah)
Lineage: Eukaryota; Metazoa; Chordata; Aves; Passeriformes; Viduidae
Exons: 2
Source: RefSeq, a predicted model, not a curated record
UCUUGCCAGGCACUUAGGUGAGACUGGCUGGCCUGUGUUCCCUGGAUCUUCCUUUUUUUCUUUUUUAAAAGUGGGAAAUCUGUUUCCCCUUUUCCAGUCACUGGGAACUUGCUCAACUGCUCAGAUAGGAUGGAAAGUGGCUUAGCUACUUCAUCUGUCAGUUUCCUCAGGAUCUGUGGAUGAAUCUCCUCAGGUUCUAUGAAUUUGUGCAUCUUCGGGUUCCAAAGAUGGUCUCGAACUUUAUCUUUUCCUAUACCAGAUGGCUCUUCCAUCUCCCAGUCCCUGACUUUUCUUUGUGCAACUCAGGCGAUGUUGCUGGAGCACUUGAUGAUGAAGACUAGGGCAAAAAGGUCACUGAAUACCUCAUUUUUCUCCAAAUGCCAUGUAACCAUGUCUCUCAUUUCCUUCUAGAGAGGGCCUACAUUUCCCCUUGUUUUCUUUUUAUCACCAGUGUACCUACAGAACAUUUUCUUGUUGCCCCUGGUGUCUCUGGCCAGAUUUAAUUCUCUCAGGGGUUUCUCUUUCCUAACCUCAUCCCUGGCUGCUUAGGCAAUUUCUCUGUAUUUCUUUCAGGCUACGUGUCCUUGCUACCAUCCUCUGUAGGCUUUUUGUUUGUUUGUUUGAGUUUGCCUAGGAGCACUUUGUUCAUCCAUGCAGGCCUCCAGGCAUUUUUGCUGAACUUCCUCUUUGGCAUGCAUCACUCCUAAACUUGAAGGAUAUGAUCUUUGAAUAUCAGCCAGAUUUCUUAAGGCCUCCAGGACCUUAUCCCAUGGUAUUAUACAAAACAGAUCCCUGAAGAGGCCAAAGUCUGCUCUCCUGAAGGGUAUUGAGCUUGCUGUGUGUCCUCCUUGCUGCCAUAAGGAUCUUGAACCCCACUACUUUAUGGUCACAGCAGCCCAGGCUGCCCUUGAGCUUCACAUCCCCCACCAGUCCUGUCUUGGUGAGAAUAGUGCAGCAUAGCUCCUGUCCUCGUUGGUUCCUCUAUCACUUGGAGAAGGAAAUUAUCAUCAACACAUUCUGUUCUCCUUACUCCUCUUGUUUUCUUUGCUGUGCCAGCUCAGCUUAAUUUCUUUUGCCCAUUUGUUGCCUAUCAGUACUUCCUGGUUUUGCUGCUGCUGCUCUCUUAAAAAUAGUUGCCUAAUAGUUUUGCUGAGCUGAGGGUCUGUGUAGUUGCUUGUUUAAUUAGAAAAGAACAUUUUCUCCUGACAUUAAAGAAAGAGAGAUCCCUUUGAGCAGCAGUUAGGAAAAAUUUAAGAGCCAUCAAUGUAUUAGCAAAAUCCACCUAUGAAAGGAGAGUGACAUCAAGAAAUUAAUAUAAUGUUUACAAGAUGACUAUAGAGUUCAGAAAUCCCUGCUUGUCAUUUGAAUAUUACCUGUGUCUAUUUGAUUGCUACAAUCUUUUGUGGCAAGACUGAGUGGUUGCAGACACCAGUGUGGUCAUGAAAUACAAGUCCUGAAUUGGUAACUCACACUCAUCACAUGUUUCUGAUUUGAUAGCAGACAGGGCAGAAAAUGUCCAUUUCAUGAAAAGCAGAAGGCAAUUACAUUACAUUAGAGUCUACAUGUUUUGCUGAAGGAACCAAGGGUUGACCAGGGGCUGAUACUUUCUGGAUUUUCAUUUGCUGCAGGGAUACUUUGUUAUCAAGGACAAAGAAACUUUCAGAACAGCUUUACAGAAUCUCCACUUUCCGUUCCCCCCUUAAUAAGGUUAUGCCAUUGGAUUAAAUUUUGGAUAUGUGAGGACAUUUAUGUUAAGUGUUGGCUCUAUUUUUCAGUCUUUUAAUGUAGAAUAAAAAGACUUGAAGUAAUGAGA